Molecule: RNA transcript, 3131 nt
Organism: Varanus komodoensis (Komodo dragon)
Lineage: Eukaryota; Metazoa; Chordata; Lepidosauria; Squamata; Varanidae
Gene: ARMC2
Gene name: armadillo repeat containing 2
Exons: 20
Source: RefSeq, a predicted model, not a curated record
UGUCUUUUGCUAACUUUGGUGCUGCAUCCGCUGAGACAAGGAUCGCAGAAAGGAUCUGUAGGUUGGCGUGACGGUCAGUCUGGUUUUCACGGAUUCUUCACUGAAGUUCUUUCCUUCAGUAGCUUUGAGGAGAUACGAGCCCAAGAUCCUGCUGAGAUAUCAUCAUUGUAUUAUUCACCAAAACUUCAGCUGGUGGGUGUUUUCUUAUGAUUGUCUAACAAAGUUAUCUAUGGACUCAGAGAGCUAUUGUGUUUGGCCCUGAGAGUGCAUAGCAGUGAAGUCUUAGUGUGUGGAGUGAGUGCAGUUCUUACUGCAAACUACUUUCCAACAGAAAAAUGCAGCCCUCAAAAAAUAAAAAUCUAGAAUAUUCAGAAGCUUUCUAUAGGCCUUCCUUAGCUGUUCAGAAGACUAGUGCUGAAAUCGUAAAUGAAGCACGUAAUGCACUUAGGACUUUAAGAACUCAAAGACCAUUUACCCCAAGAGAGGAACAAAGGAAACUUUUUGGAUCUGCCUCUUCAAGAACACCUGAAAACAGGCCACCAUCUGCUUUUAGUCUUCAUGCUUCCAGUUUUGAAGCAGUUGAAUCAAGACCUGUGCCUUGUGCACGCCUCAGCCCACUGGACCAUAAGCCAAAGCUGGUGUCAACAGCUACAAGUAAUGAAGAGCAUCACAUUUCCUCUCCUAAACCACCACUGGAUUCGAAAGAGAUCAGAAAAGUCAGUAAUGCUCGUGCACGUUUGUUUAGAACAGCUUCUUAUGGAAAUCUUCUCCCUGAUAAAGUGUUUCUUCCUAAUGCAAGUAAGAGGCUGAGUUUUAAGGAACACGUUUCCAUGGAUAAUGUUUCAAGGAGUAAUAAUGAAAGAUUUUCCCAAAAAGUGACUGAUCAGUUGAACUUUAAGGAAGACUAUCCUCCACUAACAUAUAAAGAACAUGAUAGUAAGAUAGUAGGGGAAGAAGUCUAUCCACAAAUGAUACAUAUAUCUCCAUCUUUGCUCAGCAAUCAAAGUGACCAGGUUAAUAUGCAGGAAAAUCCUUUAUUAUACUCUGGCAAUACUGAAUGGACUAAAUCUGCAGCCAGGUCAGAAAAUUUGAGAGCAAAUGAGACAGAAGAAGAAAAAAACUACUGGAAUAUGAAAAUUUUACCAAUUUUACAUGAAUUAGAAACUGAGGACAAUGUAGAAAGCCUUUGUCAUGCCUGUACAAUUCUCUAUCAAGCCUUGGAAGAGGGAAAUAUGCUUGGCAAGCAGUGUAAAAGGCGAACAUUGUUUUUGAAGACUUUAUACAAAUUGGUUGACAUUGCUUCAGAUCCCCUUGGACUGAAACUAGCAAAAAUUAUUUUGGGACUGAAAGUGAGUGGAAAGAAUCUGCUUAAUGUUUGCAAAUUGGUAUUUAAAAUAAGCAGAAAUGAAAAAAAUGAUUACCUCAUUCAAAGUGACAGAAUAUUGGAUUCUCUGCUUGAAAUUCUGAGAGCUGAAGACUUGCAGGCAAAUACUGAGGCGUUUCUUUAUUGCAUGGGUGCAAUAAAAUUCAUAUCUGGAAAUGCAAAUCUCAUUAAUGAGAUGGUCAGCAAGGGAACUGUUGAGAUACUUCUACAGCUAAUGAACGAGAUAAAUAAAAUUAAUGAAAAUGAUGCUCAGUUUUCCAGUUCAGGGCACCUCUUGGUCCAGCUCACUGCCACUUUGCGAAACCUGGUUGAUUUGCCUCAGUCAAGGUGCAAACUCCUGGACUAUGGAGCAAUUCCAGAGCUUUGUCUGAUGUUGGAGAAACGUAUAAGUGACAAAGAUAUAUGUACCAAUGUGGCCAGAAUAUUCAGCAAACUUUCUUCCUUCAAUGACUGCUGUACAGCUUUGGCAGAUUGCUCCAGAUGUUACAUCUUAUUUUUAGCCCUGCUAAACAAACACCCAAAGAAGCAGGAUUUAGUCAUCCGAAUCAUUUUCAUUCUUGGCAAUUUAACAGCGAAGAACAAUCAGGCUCGAGAAGAAUUUUUUGAGAUGCAAGGAAGUAUUAAUACCUUGAUAACGUUAUUCCAAACUCAUUGUGAAGCUGACUCUAAUAGUAAAUUGUGGAAAAAUGACAGUGAAUUAAAAAAUCACAAGCAUCCUUCUGAAGAAGAAGAUGUCCUCAUCAAACUUAUAAGAGUGAUUGCCAAUUUGUCCAUUCAUCCUAGAGUAGGUGCAAGUCUAGCAACUAACCAUCACAUUGUGGCAUUACUUAUUACAGUACUAGAAUACAAAUCAGUUGAAGAAUGUGAAGAGCUGGUUAUUAAUACUACUGCAACAAUCAAUAAUUUAUCAUUUUACCAAGUGAAGAAUUCUGUAAUCCGGGAGAAGAAAUCAUAUAUUGCAGAGUUGCUUUUAAAACUCCUAAUGAGCAGCAAUAUGGAUGGAAUUCUGGAGGCUAUUCGAGUCUUUGGUAAUCUUUCUCAAUACCAAGAAAUUUGUGACUUCAUUAUACAGCGAAAGGUGUACAAGUUCAUGAUUGCAUUGCUUGAUGCUAAACACCAAGACAUCUGCUUUUCGGCCUGUGGAGUUCUUCUCAACCUUACUGUGGAUAAAAGCAGGCGUAGUAUACUGAAUGAAGGAGGAGGAAUCAAAAAGUUAAUCGAUUGUUUGAAAGACUUUGGGCCAACAGACUGGCAGCUGGCUUGUUUGAUAUGCAAAACUUUGUGGAACUACAGUGAGAACAUUACUAGUGCUGAGUCCUGCUUUGCAGAGGAUGAUGCAAACACCCUGGUGAUUCUCCUUGCAUCAUUUUUAGGUCUGGUGAAUUUUGUGCCAUACAAAUAUAUCCUGCUACAUGAUCUUCCAUAUGGACAAGGUUGUCCUCCUUCUGGAGUUGGUGUCUGAAGAAAUAAAAAGAUGAUGGCAGCCCGAUCUCAGGUGGAAGUGAGUUCCACAGUUGGGGAACUAUAAUGGAGAAGGCCCUUCUCCUUGCCAUCUCCCCUUUUACUCCAUUAGGGGAAGGGCCUCAGAUGGCAACGGCAGUGAUCAGAUGAAGAAUUAGCGCUGGAUUACAAUAUUGACAGUGAUUUAAGAGAUUAUCACAAACUUUAUUGGGAAACGGAGUUCAAACCUGUGGCACAGAAACUUCUUCAGAGAAUUCAAAAUUAAAACACUUUUCCUUAAAUCCUU